Molecule: ribosomal RNA, 464 nt
Filed under: uncultured bacterium
Lineage: Bacteria
Description: partial 16S ribosomal RNA
Rfam family: Bacterial small subunit ribosomal RNA
Source: RNAcentral
GACGAACGCUGGCGGCGUGCUUAACACAUGCAAGUCGAACGGAAAGGCCCAGCUUGCUGUGUGCUCGCGUUGCGAACGGGUGAGUAACACGUGGGUGAUCUGCCCCUAACUUCGGGAUAAGCUUCGGCAACUGGGUCUAAUACCGGAUAGAACAAUCGUUUAGUGUCGGGUGUGGAAAGUUUUUUCGGUUAGGGAUGAGCCCGCGGCCUAUCAGCUUGUUGGUGGGGGAAUUGCCUACCAAGGCGUCGACGGGUAGCCGGCCUGGGAGGGUGGACGGCCACAAUGGGACUGAGAGACGGACCAGACGCCUACGUGAGGCAGCAGUGGGGAAUAUUGCACAAUGGGGGCAAGUCUGAGGCAGCGGCGCUGCGUGGGGGAUGACGGCCUUUGGGUUGUAAACCUCUGUCGACAGGGACGAAGCUGUGGUGACGGUACCUGUAGAAGAAGCACCGGCUAACUACGUG